This is a long non-coding RNA of Drosophila persimilis, 94 nucleotides long. RefSeq lists it as uncharacterized. The record is from RefSeq and is a predicted model, not a curated record. The transcript is spliced from 2 exons. NCBI's taxonomy places the organism in Eukaryota, Metazoa, Arthropoda, Insecta, Diptera, Drosophilidae.
ACUAAACAUAGAAGGCAUCAUUGGCGGAGGACAGGACCAUGUCCAAAGAGUUUGAAAAUAGACUAUCGAUUUUGGCCUCAAGUCUUGAGAGAAA